RNAcentral lists this unclassified non-coding RNA (221 nucleotides) under plant metagenome. RNAcentral's name for it is "partial contains small subunit ribosomal RNA, internal transcribed spacer 1, and 5.8S ribosomal RNA". The record is from RNAcentral.
UUUCCGUUGGUGAACCAGCGGAAGGAUCAUUACUGAGAUCAUGCCCUUAACGAGGUAGACCUCCCACCCUGUGUUAUUACGAUUGUUGCUUUGGCAGGCCGCCCUCGGGCGCUCGGCUUCGGCUGAGGCGUGCCUGCCAGAAGACCCAAACCCUGUAUUUAGUGUUGUCCGAGUACUAUUUUAAUACGUUAAAACUUUCAACAACGGAUCUCUUGGUUCUG